UUUUGUCUUUGGCAAUUCACAAUUUUACUAUAACAACUCUUGUUAUAGUAAAAUUGUGAAUUGCCAAAGACAAAA
This 75-nucleotide small RNA is filed under the name Mytilus galloprovincialis (Mediterranean mussel). Lineage: Eukaryota; Metazoa; Mollusca; Bivalvia; Mytilida; Mytilidae. The record is from RNAcentral.